Molecule: ribosomal RNA, 1543 nt
Filed under: Shigella boydii ATCC 9905
Lineage: Bacteria; Pseudomonadati; Pseudomonadota; Gammaproteobacteria; Enterobacterales; Enterobacteriaceae
Description: SSU rRNA
Rfam family: Bacterial small subunit ribosomal RNA
Source: RNAcentral
AAAUUGAAGAGUUUGAUCAUGGCUCAGAUUGAACGCUGGCGGCAGGCCUAACACAUGCAAGUCGAACGGUAACAGAAAGCAGCUUGCUGUUUUGCUGACGAGUGGCGGACGGGUGAGUAAUGUCUGGGAAACUGCCUGAUGGAGGGGGAUAACUACUGGAAACGGUAGCUAAUACCGCAUAACGUCGCAAGACCAAAGAGGGGGACCUUCGGGCCUCUUGCCAUCGGAUGUGCCCAGAUGGGAUUAGCUAGUAGGUGGGGUAAUGGCUCACCUAGGCGACGAUCCCUAGCUGGUCUGAGAGGAUGACCAGCCACACUGGAACUGAGACACGGUCCAGACUCCUACGGGAGGCAGCAGUGGGGAAUAUUGCACAAUGGGCGCAAGCCUGAUGCAGCCAUGCCGCGUGUAUGAAGAAGGCCUUCGGGUUGUAAAGUACUUUCAGCGGGGAGGAAGGGAGUAAAGUUAAUACCUUUGCUCAUUGACGUUACCCGCAGAAGAAGCACCGGCUAACUCCGUGCCAGCAGCCGCGGUAAUACGGAGGGUGCAAGCGUUAAUCGGAAUUACUGGGCGUAAAGCGCACGCAGGCGGUUUGUUAAGUCAGAUGUGAAAUCCCCGGGGCUCAACCUGGGAACUGCAUCUGAUACUGGCAAGCUUGAGUCUCGUAGAGGGGGGUAGAAUUCCAGGUGUAGCGGUGAAAUGCGUAGAGAUCUGGAGGAAUACCGGUGGCGAAGGCGGCCCCCUGGACGAAGACUGACGCUCAGGUGCGAAAGCGUGGGGAGCAAACAGGAUUAGAUACCCUGGUAGUCCACGCCGUAAACGAUGUCGACUUGGAGGUUGUGCCCUUGAGGCGUGGCUUCCGGAGCUAACGCGUUAAGUCGACCGCCUGGGGAGUACGGCCGCAAGGUUAAAACUCAAAUGAAUUGACGGGGGCCCGCACAAGCGGUGGAGCAUGUGGUUUAAUUCGAUGCAACGCGAAGAACCUUACCUGGUCUUGACAUCCACGGAAGUUUUCAGAGAUGAGAAUGUGCCUUCGGGAACCGUGAGACAGGUGCUGCAUGGCUGUCGUCAGCUCGUGUUGUGAAAUGUUGGGUUAAGUCCCGCAACGAGCGCAACCCUUAUCCUUUGUUGCCAGCGGUCCGGCCGGGAACUCAAAGGAGACUGCCAGUGAUAAACUGGAGGAAGGUGGGGAUGACGUCAAGUCAUCAUGGCCCUUACGACCAGGGCUACACACGUGCUACAAUGGCGCAUACAAAGAGAAGCGACCUCGCGAGAGCAAGCGGACCUCAUAAAGUGCGUCGUAGUCCGGAUUGGAGUCUGCAACUCGACUCCAUGAAGUCGGAAUCGCUAGUAAUCGUGGAUCAGAAUGCCACGGUGAAUACGUUCCCGGGCCUUGUACACACCGCCCGUCACACCAUGGGAGUGGGUUGCAAAAGAAGUAGGUAGCUUAACCUUCGGGAGGGCGCUUACCACUUUGUGAUUCAUGACUGGGGUGAAGUCGUAACAAGGUAACCGUAGGGGAACCUGCGGUUGGAUCACCUCCUUA